Molecule: long non-coding RNA, 524 nt
Organism: Patella vulgata (common limpet)
Lineage: Eukaryota; Metazoa; Mollusca; Gastropoda; Patellidae
Exons: 4
Source: RefSeq, a predicted model, not a curated record
UUGACCAUAAAGUGUAUAACUUUAUAAAUCAUCUUUAUUUUCCUGGAAAGAAAGCACCUGUCUUAGGUGUUUUUGUGAUGUGUAUGAAGUGUAUUUUGUCCUGAAAUAAACUGUUGUAUUGUUAAUUGGAGUCAACUAGUCUAUACAACUUUACCCACGACCUGUACUGCCGGAUAGUCUGUCUGUCCGUCAAAACUCCUGCUACAAAAUGGCGCCCAACGUGAUAUAGAGACAGUUGAUUCCUGUGUUUUGUGAUCUGUGUUUUGUGAACUCUUGCUUGAUUUGUGUUUUUGUGUUGAAUUCUUGGAUUUUUCUGGAUUUCUGCGAAAGAGCUCUUGUUUCGUAUUGUGUUGACUAUAAAGUGUAUAACUUUAUAAAUCAUCUUUAUUUUCCUGGAAAGAAAGCACCUGUCUUAGGUGUUUUUGUGAUGUGUAUGAAGUGUAUUUUGUCCUGAAAUAAACUGUUGUAUUGUUAAUUGGAGUCAACUAGUCUAUACAACUUUACCCACGACCUGGACUGCCGGA